Molecule: non-coding RNA, 29 nt
Filed under: Mus musculus (house mouse)
Lineage: Eukaryota; Metazoa; Chordata; Mammalia; Rodentia; Muridae
Source: RNAcentral
UGAACGGAUGUAUGGGGAACCAUUGGUGA